Molecule: RNA transcript, 507 nt
Organism: Cercocebus atys (sooty mangabey)
Lineage: Eukaryota; Metazoa; Chordata; Mammalia; Primates; Cercopithecidae
Gene name: 40S ribosomal protein S24 pseudogene
Exons: 1
Source: RefSeq, a predicted model, not a curated record
CCUCCCUGACUGUCUGAAGACAGGCCACCAUCACGAACGACAUCGUAACUAUCCGCACUAGAAAGUUCAUGACCAACCGACUACUUCAGAGGAAACAAAUGGUCAUUGAUGUCCUUCACCCCGGGAAGGCAACAGUGCCUAAGACAGAAAUUCGGGAAAAACUAGCCAAAAUGUACAAGACCACACCGGAUGUCAUCUUUGUAUUUGGAUUCAGAACUCAUUUUGGUGGUGGCAAGACAACUGGCUUUGGCAUGAUUUAUGACUGCCUGGAUUGUGCAAAGAAAAAUGAACCCAAACAUAGACUUGCAAGACAUGGCCUGUAUGAGAAGAAAAAGACCUCAAGAAAGCCACGAAAGGAACGCAAGAACAGAAUGAAGAAAGUCAGGGGGACUGCAAAGGCCAAUGCUGGUGCUGGCAAAAAGCCGAAGGAAUGAACGUGCUGCAGUAAAGGCUACCUGUGCCCAUUUUGGACUUUUCAUGAGAAGAUUAAUAAACUAAAAACUUUCA